This is a long non-coding RNA of Spea bombifrons (plains spadefoot toad), 925 nucleotides long. RefSeq lists it as uncharacterized. NCBI's taxonomy places the organism in Eukaryota, Metazoa, Chordata, Amphibia, Anura, Pelobatidae. The transcript is spliced from 2 exons. The record is from RefSeq and is a predicted model, not a curated record.
UGUGGUUUCGUGAGCUUCUCCUUUGAGACCAACGUAGGAUGAUAGGAACCUGCUGGACUCAGCCUCUGGAAGGUCUCUUAUGGGGAAUUAGGAUUAUGAUGGAGACAUACAUCACUGUCAGGGUUGUGUGUGGGAUAUCAUCAUAUACUGUAAGUUUGUUAUAAGGCACUACAGUAUAGAUGAUGUACUAUUCCAAACCCAGAUGUACAUCAGGAUCCACAAAACGCAUAAGAAGAACAAAUAACUCCUAUCGUUUUUUGGUCAGAAUAGGACAUGUACCGUAUUUUGGACUGAAUUUCUUUUACAUUAGCUAUUCAGAUUCAUGCUCUUAUUUAACCUUUCAUGUGCAUAGCAUUCAAUUGUAGAGCUGCUGCAGGUUAGUGUAGAACUACAUUGGAGGUUUAUGUAUACAAAGCAAUUCUAGUGAAACAUUCAAAUUGUGGUUUUAUCAUCGUAACAACCAAUAGGAUAUUCCUGCCGAUUGCCCCACUUCCCAAAUUCUGCACCGGAAUUACCUUUUAUACAUAACUCCCAGUAAAUGAAAGUCUCAGGAAAGUUUAAGCUCAAAACACAUGAAGAUCCAAGAUCUGGAGCACAUCCCUGGCUAUGAAAAAAUACAGAUUAUUGUUAUUGUAUAGUGGAUUACAUGGAAGAAAGGAAAUGCCUGUUAUAUUGGUAUAUAUUCAGAAAAUCUUCAGAACAUCUUUGGCAUCCUCUGCACCAAGACAUCUCUCGUGGAGUGGCGGUGAAACCGUUACCAUUACUGAGUUUAGUAAUGGUAAGGGUUCUACUGCUGCUUCUACAUUCUCCAAAAAGACCUCCUGAGGAACAUCUUGCAAUGCUGGGUGUAACAAAUGCAAAAAAAACCUGUCUCUUCCUUUAUAUACGAUUUACUGUUGUACUAAUAAAGUAUUUAUUGCUGAUA